GACGAACGCUGGCGGCGUGCUUAACACAUGCAAGUCGAACGGAAAGGCCCUGCUUUUGUGGGGUGCUCGAGUGGCGAACGGGUGAGUAACACGUGAGUAACCUGCCCUUGACUUUGGGAUAACUUCAGGAAACUGGGGCUAAUACCGGAUAGGAGCUCCUGCUGCAUGGAGGGGGUUGGAAAGUUUCGGCGGUUGGGGAUGGACUCGCGGCUUAUCAGCUUGUUGGUGGGGUAGUGGCUUACCAAGGCUUUGACGGGUAGCCGGCCUGGGAGGGUGACCGGCCACCUUGGGACUUCGCUCCGGCCCAGACUCCUACGGGCGGCAGCGGUGGGGAAUAUUGCACAAUGGGCGGAAUCCUGAUGCAGCAACGCCGCGUGCGGGAUGACGGCCUUCGGGUUGUAAACCGCUUUCGCCUGUGACGAAGCGUUAGUGACGGUAAUGGGUAAAGAAGCACCGGCUAACUACGUG
RNAcentral lists this ribosomal RNA (468 nucleotides) under uncultured bacterium. RNAcentral describes it as "partial 16S ribosomal RNA". It matches the Rfam family "Bacterial small subunit ribosomal RNA", at positions 28 to 507 of the family's 1533-position model. The record is from RNAcentral.